RNAcentral lists this ribosomal RNA (502 nucleotides) under uncultured bacterium. Its description in RNAcentral is "partial 16S ribosomal RNA". It matches the Rfam family "Bacterial small subunit ribosomal RNA", at positions 30 to 523 of the family's 1533-position model. The record is from RNAcentral.
AUUGAACGCUGGCGGAAUGCUUUACACAUGUAAGUCGAACGGCAGCAUAGGUGCUUGCACCUGAUGGCGAGUGGCGAACGGGUGAGUAAUACAUCGGAACGUGCCCAGUCGUGGGGGAUAACGUAGCGAAAGUUACGCUAAUACCGCAUACGCUCUAAGGAUGAAAGCGGGGGACCGUAAGGCCUCGCGCGAUUGGAGCGGCCGAUGUCAGAUUAGGUAGUUGGUGAGGUAAAGGCUCACCAAGCCGACGAUCUGUAGCUGGUCUGAGAGGACGACCAGCCACACUGAGACUGAGACACGGCCCAGACUCCUACGGGAGGCAGCAGUGGGAAAUUUUGGACAAUGGACGCAAGUCUGAUCCAGCCAUUCCGCGUGCAGGACGAAGGCCUUCGGGUUGUAAACUGCUUUUGUACGGAACGAAAAAGCUCUUACUAAUACUAGGAGUCCAUGACGGUACCGUAAGAAUAAGCACCGGCUAACUACGUGCCAGCCGCCGCAGUAA